UAGGGAUCUUCCACAAUGGACGAAAGUCUGAUGGAGCAACGCCGCGUGAGUGAAGAAGGGUUUCGGCUCGUAAAGCUCUGUUGGUAGUGAAGAAAGAUAGAGGUAGUAACUGGCCUUUUAUUUGACGGUAAUUACUUAGAAAGUCACGGCUAACUACGUGCC
Molecule: ribosomal RNA, 162 nt
Filed under: uncultured bacterium
Lineage: Bacteria
Description: partial 16S ribosomal RNA
Rfam family: Bacterial small subunit ribosomal RNA
Source: RNAcentral